This 252-nucleotide ribosomal RNA is filed under the name uncultured bacterium. RNAcentral describes it as "partial 16S ribosomal RNA". It matches the Rfam family "Bacterial small subunit ribosomal RNA", at positions 524 to 776 of the family's 1533-position model. The record is from RNAcentral.
GACGUAGGGCGCGAGCGUUGUCCGGAUUUAUUGGGCGUAAAGAGCUCGUAGGCGGCUUGUCGCGUCUGCUGUGAAAUCCCGAGGCUCAACCUCGGGUCUGCAGUGGGUACGGGCAGACUAGAGUGUGGUAGGGGAGAUUGGAAUCCUGGUGUAGCGGUGGAAUGCGCAGAUAUCAGGAGGAACACCGAUGGCGAAGGCAGAUCUCUGGGCCAUUACUGACGCUGAGGAGCGAAAGCAUGGGGAGCGAACAGG